GCUAAGCUUGUAACACUGUAACUCUCCCAGAGCCACUCAGCAGUAUUUAUAAUAGCGUGACGGACCUGUUUGAAAACCUCAAGAGCAGGGGCGGGAACCACAGGCAGUUCCCGCCCUUCUGAACAAUUCUCCCUUGCUCAGACUGAAGGAGACCAGGAGGGACCUGAGGCAACAGUAGAGCCUUAUUGGGAUUUAAUGAAUACUCCUAGGUAUAUACGUAGCAAUGAAGAGGAUGCAUGACAGCACAGAGAGAUGAGAGAAGAAAACGGCCCUUAAGAAGGCUAUAAAAAUAGGCAGUCCAAAGAAGAAAUAGAAGAGUAAGAAUUACAACCAUGAAAAGGAAAAUAAAGAAGGAAAGAUGGAUUUAAGAAGAAUUAGUAACAGAUUGGAUUUGGCAACAAAAGAAAGCGAAUAAUUGAAGUGUUACUUCACAAAAGAAUAGUGUUAUGAAUAGAAUGUAUAGGAAUGUCACUUGAAAGGUUGCUUCCUUUAUGUGGUUGGAUAUAUUCAGGGUAUGAUACAGGUGAACAAUCAAGCCAACAUUCUGCAAUCUUAGACAGAAGCUACUUAGAUGAGGAUGGUUCUACUGAGAGUCUGGUAUAGAAGAUGAACAAGCAAUCAUUCUGAAAUGCAAGUUUGAUCCUUAAGCAAGAGGACAGGCCUGAAAAGGAGAGACUUCAGUUACUUGCAUGAAAGUAACUAAAGAACCCAUGAAGGCAAAUAGGAUAGUACCUUAGAAAAUUCCUGCAGUUGGAAGGCUAGAAGUCACUUCUUCCUUUGUUGGUGCUCAGGAAAAUCAAAUAUGGUGGGUCAAAGCCAUUUUAAGAUUAGAAAUACAUGGGCUCCAGAAACAGUUAAUACACACUCAAAGUAAAUGUGAUUCAUAUUUAGCUCAUUUCUCAUCUCAUCCCAACCAUUUGAACUGAUUUUCAUUUUUAUUGACAUUUAUUAAUUUGUUCAUGUCCUAGUUGAAUUUGCUACAUGAAGUCAUUUGUUAAUUUUGAUGGGAUAAAAAAGUGUGAAACCCUCAA
Molecule: long non-coding RNA, 1031 nt
Organism: Cebus imitator (Panamanian white-faced capuchin)
Lineage: Eukaryota; Metazoa; Chordata; Mammalia; Primates; Cebidae
Exons: 2
Source: RefSeq, a predicted model, not a curated record